Molecule: transfer RNA, 85 nt
Filed under: Patescibacteria group bacterium
Lineage: Bacteria
Description: tRNA-Leu
Rfam family: tRNA
About the family: Transfer RNA (tRNA) molecules are approximately 80 nucleotides in length. Their secondary structure includes four short double-helical elements and three loops (D, anti-codon, and T loops). Further hydrogen bonds mediate the characteristic L-shaped molecular structure. tRNAs have two regions of fundamental functional importance: the anti-codon, which is responsible for specific mRNA codon recognition, and the 3' end, to which the tRNAs corresponding amino acid is attached (by aminoacyl-tRNA synthetases). tRNAs cope with the degeneracy of the genetic code in two manners: having more than one tRNA (with a specific anti-codon) for a particular amino acid; and 'wobble' base-pairing, i.e. permitting non-standard base-pairing at the 3rd anti-codon position.
Source: RNAcentral
GCCGGUGUGGUGGAAUUGGCAGACACACACGCCUCAAGAGCGUGCGCCUAACGGCAUGUCGGUUCGACUCCGACCACCGGCACCA